This 466-nucleotide ribosomal RNA is filed under the name uncultured bacterium. RNAcentral's name for it is "bacterial SSU rRNA". It matches the Rfam family "Bacterial small subunit ribosomal RNA", at positions 1 to 476 of the family's 1533-position model. The record is from RNAcentral.
AUUAGUUUGAUCAUGGCUCAGAAUGAACGCUGGCGGCGUGCUUUACACAUGCAAUCGAGCGAGGCGGCCCGCAAGGGCCAGUCGAGCGGCGAACGGGUGAGUAACACGUGGAUAACCUGCCCAGAGGUGGGGGAUAACCCGGGGAACUCGGGCUAAUACCGCAUGAUACCAGAGGUCAAAGGGGGCUCGCAAGGGCUCUCGCCAUUGGAGGGGUCCGCGUCCGAUUAGCUAGUUGGUAGGGUAAUGGCCUACCAAGGCGACGAUCGGUAGCCGGCCUGAGAGGGUGAUCGGCCACACUGGAACUGAGACACGGUCCAGACUCCUACGGGAGGCAGCAGUGGGGAAUUUUGCGCAAUGGGCUAACGCCUGACGCAGCAACGCCGCGUGGAGGAUGAAGGUCUUUGGAUUGUAGUACCUGUCAGCAGGGAAAAAGCGACUCGGACUAAUACGCCGGGGAGUUAAUUGU